UUUGCAGGCCCGGCACAGUCUCAGUUCCCCACAGCACAGAGAGGAAGCAAGGUCUUUGCAUGCCCUGUUCACUUGGCCAAACUUUGCCCUAGAUGUGCAAUUCAACCCGUAUAAAGCAAGCGUAAUUCAAGAGCCCUGACUCUUUCACCAUUUCAUGAUGGCUUAUUACUCGUACACGGCAUUGUCAGGUUCCAGCAACUCUGUGUGCAGCAGGCAGAAAUGCAGUGUUUAUCUCUGACAGGCAAACAUUCUUAGGUUCAUCGGCAUGAGUAUCCACGCUGAACUGGCUAUCGGGGAAGUAGAUCCCUGCAUGGGAAAGUCAAGUAUCCCCACUGUGUAGAGCUGGUCCACAAUGGAGAGGAGGAAAAGUUUUGCGUUGGACCAAAUCACUGCCUUAGAAGGAAAGAGAUUGCAAUCCCAUUCAUUUUUAAGAUCUGCAAUGGGUUGGGAUGAUACCCAUUUAAAAAAGAAAAAAAAGAGGUUACCUCUUUGGCCUCUUUGGCAAAGGAUAUGAACUAGUAAUAAAGCCUCAGCAUCAAGGCUUGGGAGUCUGGCUCAAAGUGGCUAAGACUAGAAGCAUCUUCUAACAUAAAUAUGGCAGCAUUAGGAAAAUAGCUUGGCCUUUAGAGAGACCCAGAUUAUCUUCACCUUAAAAACUACCAAGACCCUGGUCCAGCAAGACCACCAUCACAGCAGUAAAUACAUAGCCACCAACUUCACAGAAGGUUUUCCACUGAGACAUUGUGAAAACCACAAUCCAUUACCGGUGGAUGAGUCCCAGCUCUCUUACUACCUGGGGUUUCCAAGCAAGACUUACCUGUCCUUUGUUCCGGAUUGGUUCCUGGGAUCCUGGACCAAAACAAAGAGAAGAGGAAAGCCUCAAGGGAAAUAAAAGUGAAGGCUUCAGUGAUAGUUUAAAUAUAUAUUUUUAAAUGUUAGCUUUUUUUUAAAUACUUCACGGUGAUGGAUGGAGUAUUUCAACCACAGUGGCAAAGAAUGAAUUACCGGCAGUGUCAGAGUUUCUUGUUGCUGUGGGAAGACAGCUGCCAUGUUGAGAGGUGCCUUGUGGAGAGGCUUAUGUGGCGAGGAACUGAGACUGGCUUCUAUCCAACAACCAGUGAGGAACUAAGGCCCUAAAGUCCUAUAGUCCACAAGGAACUAAAUCCUACCAACAACUACAUGAGUGAGCCUGGAAUCUGAUUUUCCCCAGUGGGGACUUAAGGUACCUACAACCUGGCUGUUAUGGGCUAAACUGCAUCCUGCCCAAAUUUAUAUGUUUGAGUCUUAACUCCCAGCACUUCAGAACAUGGUUUUGUUUGGAGACAUAGUCAUUAAAGAGGUAGUGAAGUUAAAAUGAGGUCAUUAGGAUGAGUCCUAAUCCAAUAGGACUGGUGUUCUUAUAUGAAGAGGAAAUUUGAACACAGACACAUAUACAGGAAAGACCAUGCGAAGAAGACACAGAGAGGAAACGGCCAUCUACAAUCCAAGGAGAGAGGCCUCAGAACAAGCCAACCCUGCAGAUACCUUGAUCUAGGCAUCCAGAAUUGUAUGAAAAUACAUUUUUGUUAUUUAAGCUACCCAGUCUGUGGUGCUUUGUUAUGGCAAUCCCAGAAAACUAAUUAACUAAUUGACUGCAGCCUUGCAAGGGACCCUGAACCAGAGGACCCAGUUAAGCCAUGUUCAGAUUCCUGACUCACGGAACUAGGAGAUAACAAAUGUUUGUUGCUCUAAGGUGCUAAAUGUUGGGAAAAUAUGUUAUAUAGCUAUGUUGUUUUGCACAUGUGCCACAUAAUGAUGUUUUGGUCAACAACAGACCACAUAUAUGAUGGUGGGCCCAUAAGAUUGUAAUACUGUGUUUCUAUUAUGCAUUCUCUAUUUAUAGAUACACAAAUACUUGCCAUUGUGUUACAAUUGCCUACUGUCUUCAGUACUGUAACAUGCUGUACAGGUUUGUAGCCCAGAAGCAAUAGACUAUACCAUACAGUCUGGGUGUGUAGUAGGCUAUACCAUUUAUGUUUGCGAAGUACACUCUAUGAUGUUCACAUAAUUAUGAAGUUGCCUAGUGAUGCAUUUCUCAGAAUGCAUACCCGACAUUAAGUGACACUUGGCUUUAUGUCUAUCAUGCAUUUAAGAUAUUGCAAUAUAGUUAACUUAUGUUUUAAUACACCUAUUAAUUCUGUUUUGAUCCCACACCAACCAAGGUGCAAAACUAACUUUUUCGCCCAUUUCCAUAAAAAACACAAUUACAAUGGG
This is a long non-coding RNA of Gorilla gorilla gorilla (western lowland gorilla), 2253 nucleotides long. RefSeq lists it as uncharacterized. The transcript has 2 exons. The record is from RefSeq and is a predicted model, not a curated record. NCBI's taxonomy places the organism in Eukaryota, Metazoa, Chordata, Mammalia, Primates, Hominidae.